GGUCGCGUAGCUCAGCUGGUUAGAGCGUUCGCUUCACAUGCGAAAGGUCCCUGGUUCAAAUCCAGGCGCGACCA
Molecule: transfer RNA, 74 nt
Filed under: Candidatus Shapirobacteria bacterium CG10_big_fil_rev_8_21_14_0_10_40_9
Lineage: Bacteria; Candidatus Shapironibacteriota
Description: tRNA-Val
Rfam family: tRNA
About the family: Transfer RNA (tRNA) molecules are approximately 80 nucleotides in length. Their secondary structure includes four short double-helical elements and three loops (D, anti-codon, and T loops).
Source: RNAcentral